UAAUAUUCCUGUACUUGGUGUUACUGCGAAGGGGGGACGGAGAAGGCUAUGUUAGCCGGGCGACGGUUGUCCCGGUUUAAGCAUGUAGGCUGGUUAUCCAGGCAAAUCCGGAUAACCAUGGCUGAGGUGUGAUGACGAGGCACUACGGUGCUGAAGUAACAAAUGCCCUGCUUCCAGGAAAAGCCUCUAAGCAUCAGGUAACAUCAAAUCGUACCCCAAACCGACACAGGUGGUCAGGUAGAGAAUACCAAGGCGCUUGAGAGAACUCGGGUGAAGGAACUAGGCAAAAUGGUGCCGUAACUUCGGGAGAAGGCACGCUGGUGUGUAGGUG
Molecule: ribosomal RNA, 331 nt
Filed under: Acinetobacter baumannii
Lineage: Bacteria; Pseudomonadati; Pseudomonadota; Gammaproteobacteria; Moraxellales; Moraxellaceae
Description: partial 23S ribosomal RNA
Rfam family: Bacterial large subunit ribosomal RNA
Source: RNAcentral